This 1003-nucleotide long non-coding RNA is filed under the name Mytilus galloprovincialis (Mediterranean mussel). The record is from RNAcentral. Lineage: Eukaryota; Metazoa; Mollusca; Bivalvia; Mytilida; Mytilidae.
CAUUUAUAUAUGUCAGCCAUACCGUGUGAUGCGUUUUCAGAUUCAUCACUUGACAACUUCCUGUUUACCGAACACUUGUCUGAUUUUACACCUGAUAGCCAAGUUGAAAAUUUUCGUCACAUUUUUCUCAGGAACUACAAUACAAGGAUUUCUGAAAUUUGGUUUCAGGAUUUAUAUAAGUCAGCUAUACCGUGUGAUGCGUUUUCAGAUUCAUCCCUCGACAACUUCCUGUUUACCGAACACUUGUAUGAUUUUACACAUGAUAGCCAAGUUGAAAAUUUUCGUCACAUUUUUCUCAGGAACUACAAUACAAGGAUUUCUGAAAUUUGGUUUCAGGAUUUAUAUAAGUCAGCUAUACCGUGUGAUGCGUUUUCAGAUUCAUCACUCAACAACUUCCUGUUUACCGAACACUUGUAUGAUUUUACACAUGAUAGCCAAGUUGAAAAAUUUUCGUCACAUUUUUCUCAGGAACUACAUACAAGGAUUUCUGAAAUUUGGUUCAGGAUUUAUAUAAGUCAGCUAUACCGUGUGAUGCGUUUUCAGAUUCAUCACUCGACAACUUCCUGUUUACCGAACACUUGUAUGAUUUUACACAUGAUAACCAAGUAAAAAUUUUCGUCACAUUUUUCUCAGGAAUACAAUACAAGGAUUUCUGAAAUUUGGUUUCAGGAUUUAUAUAAGUCAGCUAUACCGUGUGAUGUGUUUUCAGAUUCAUCACUCGACAACUUCCUGUUUACCGAACACUUGUAUGAUUUUACACAUGAUACCAAGUAAAAAAUUUUCGUCACAUUUUUCUCAGGAACUACAAUACAAGGAUUUCUGAAAUUUGGUUUCAGGAUUUUUAUAAGUCAGCUAUACCGUGUGAUGCAUUUUCAGAUUCAUCACUCGACAACUUCCUGUUUACCGAACACUUGCAUAUUUUUACACUAUUAAUAUUAUCCACUUGCGGCGGGGGUAUCAUCAGUGAGCAGUAGCUCGCAGUUUCACUUGUUCAUUCUAUUUC